Molecule: small nucleolar RNA, 92 nt
Organism: Sphaeramia orbicularis (orbiculate cardinalfish)
Lineage: Eukaryota; Metazoa; Chordata; Actinopteri; Kurtiformes; Apogonidae
Product: small nucleolar SNORD12/SNORD106
Source: Ensembl
GUUGUGGUUAAUGAUGCCAAUUUUUUUCCCCGUCUUAUCGACACUGGUGAAAAGAAAACAAAAACUAAGCCAGUUUGGUCUGAAACCACAUG